This is a long non-coding RNA of Bos taurus (domestic cattle), 785 nucleotides long. NCBI's taxonomy places the organism in Eukaryota, Metazoa, Chordata, Mammalia, Artiodactyla, Bovidae. The record is from Ensembl.
GGAGGUCAGGUGAGGUCAUCAGGAGGGGUCAUCAAGAUCAGAUGAGGUCAGUGAGAUCAUGCUGUGUGAGCUGUCUUGACUUUAGGCCAGCGGCCACCACCCAGGGCCCCCUGGGCUCCUGGACGCAACUUCCCCAGGACCACCCUCCCAAUGGCUGCCCACACUUAGGACAGUGCUGUCCCAAAGCCAGAGACACCUUGAGGUCAGCUGGGCAAUGCCUGGACUUCCCGACCUGCAGGUCCCAGGUAAGGCCGCCCUGCGACCCUCCAGACGUCCAGAGCACCGCAUCCGUCUGUUCGUCUGUCCAUCUCACCGAAGCCCAGCCUAUAUGUUACAGAGCACACAGUGGAUUCACAGCAGUAAGUGGAGGGGACGCAGUCUCAGGACCAAGGAUGCUGCCUGUAAGGGGAGCAGUGUAAACUCAGCUUCCUGGAAACUCAGGACUUGCUGGAGACAGCCUGGCUCCAGAGCCGACCGUCCACACUGGCCCCCGCCCCACAGGCUGCGACAGCCCCUCUCCAUGCCGUCUUCCCAGUGAGAACAUGGCUGACCUCACCCUUCUCUACAAGGUGGCUGCAACCACUCAACACCCACCAGCAUAGCCUGCCUGUCUGGUGUGGACCCCUCAGCCCAUCCCCAGGGCUGGGGGUCCUGUAGUCCUCCACUCACUGCCCCCCAAACCCUCAGCUAAGAGCCCUCCAGGGCCACCUCCUCUACCCCCUUCCCAUGUUUCUCAGAGCUAUGCUGGCCCCUCCCCACAAAUCAAAGGCUGCAGGGGCUGACCC